UAGGUCAGUUAAGCAAUGAUGUC
RNAcentral lists this non-coding RNA (23 nucleotides) under Arabidopsis thaliana (thale cress). The record is from RNAcentral. Lineage: Eukaryota; Viridiplantae; Streptophyta; Magnoliopsida; Brassicales; Brassicaceae.